UUGGAGGGCAAGUCUGGUGCCAGCAGCCGCGGUAAUUCCAGCUCCAAUAGCGUAUAUUAAAGUUGUUGCAGUUAAAAAGCUCGUAGUUGAAUUUCGGGAUCUAUCCGUCGGUCGGGCCUCACGGUCCGCACUGGUGUGAUGGAUUCCUACCUUCUGAAUAACCGGUAUGCCAUUAAUUUGAUGUGCCGGGGAAGCAGAACCAUUACCUUGAAAAAAUUAGAGUGCUCAAAGCAGGCCUAUGCCUGAAUACAUUAGCAUGGAAUAAUAAAAUAGGACGGCAUGGUUCUAUUUUGUUGGUUUCUAGGAUCACCGUAAUGAUUAAUAGGGAUAGUUGGGGGCAUUAGUAUUCAAUUGUCAGAGGUGAAAUUCUUGGAUUUAUUGAAGACUAACUUCUGCGAAAGCAUUUGCCAAGGAUGUUUUCAUUAAUCAAGAACGAAAGUUAGGGGAUCGAAGACGAUCAGAUACCGUCGUAGUCUUAACCAUAAACUAUGCCGACUAGGGAUCGGACGAUGUUAAUUUUAUAAUGACUCGUUCGGCGCCUUACGGGAAAC
Molecule: ribosomal RNA, 551 nt
Filed under: uncultured Glomeromycotina
Lineage: Eukaryota; Fungi; Glomeromycota
Description: SSU rRNA
Rfam family: Eukaryotic small subunit ribosomal RNA
Source: RNAcentral